Molecule: ribosomal RNA, 216 nt
Filed under: Glomeromycotina sp.
Lineage: Eukaryota; Fungi; Glomeromycota
Description: partial small subunit ribosomal RNA
Rfam family: Eukaryotic small subunit ribosomal RNA (bases 40-216)
Source: RNAcentral
GGGUCAGUAGGUUGGUCGUGCCACCGGUACGUACUGGUCUCACUGAUUCCUCCUUCCUGAAGAACCGUAAUGCCAUUAAUUUGGUGUUGCGGGGAGACAGGACUGUUACUUUGAAAAAAUUAGAGUGUUUAAAGCAAGCUAACGCUUGAAUACAUUAGCAUGGAAUAAUGAAAUAGGACAAUCGAUCCUAUUUUGUUGGUUUCUAGGAUUGACGUA